CCUACGGGUGGCAGCAGUGGGGAAUAUUGGACAAUGGGGGGAACCCUGAUCCAGCGACGCCGCGUGAGUGAAGAAGUCUUUCGGUAUGUAAAGCUCUAUCAGCAGGGAAGAAAAUGACGGUACCUGACUAAGAAGCCCCGGCUAACUACGUGCCAGCAGCCGCGGUACUACGUAGGGGGCCAGCGUUAUACGGAUUUCCUGGGUGUAAAGGGAGCGUAGUCGGAUCAGCAGGUCUGAUGUGAAAGGUCGGGGCCCAACCCCGGGACUGCAUGGGAAACUGGUGAUCUUGAGUACAGGAGAGGUAAGCGGAAUUCGUAGUGUAGCGGUGAAAUGCGUAGAUAUUACGAGGAACACCAGUGGCGAAGGCAGCUUACUGGACUGUAACUGACGCUGAGGCUCGAAAGCGUGGGUAGCAAACAGGAUUAGAUACCCUAGUAGUC
RNAcentral lists this ribosomal RNA (440 nucleotides) under uncultured bacterium. RNAcentral describes it as "partial 16S ribosomal RNA". It matches the Rfam family "Bacterial small subunit ribosomal RNA", at positions 338 to 795 of the family's 1533-position model. The record is from RNAcentral.